Molecule: ribosomal RNA, 386 nt
Filed under: Planctomycetota bacterium
Lineage: Bacteria; Pseudomonadati; Planctomycetota
Description: bacterial LSU rRNA
Rfam family: Bacterial large subunit ribosomal RNA
Source: RNAcentral
CGGCUCAUCGCAUCCUGGGGCUGGAGAAGGUCCCAAGGGUUUGGCUGUUCGCCAAUUAAAGCGGUACGUGAGCUGGGUUCAGACCGUCGUGAGACAGGUCGGUCCCUAUCUGGUGUGGCUGUUGGACGCUUGAAGAGGUCUUUCCUUAGUACGAGAGGAUUGGGAAGGACGAAGCUCUGGUGUACCAGUUGUCUCGCUCGAGGCACCGCUGGGUAGCUAACUUCGGAACGGAUAAGCGCUGAAAGCAUCUAAGCGCGAAGCCUUCUCUAAAACUAGGCGUCCCCAUUAGGGUCCUGGGAGACUACCAGGUCGAUAGGCGGUAGCUGUAAGCACGGCAACGUGUUCAGGCGAGCCGUACUAAUAACCCGAACGGCUUGGUUUCCCUU